This 429-nucleotide ribosomal RNA is filed under the name bacterium. RNAcentral describes it as "partial 16S ribosomal RNA". It matches the Rfam family "Bacterial small subunit ribosomal RNA", at positions 355 to 776 of the family's 1533-position model. The record is from RNAcentral. RNAcentral also lists the same sequence under 1 other name.
UAGGGAAUCUUCGGCAAUGGACGAAAGUCUGACCGAGCAACGCCGCGUGAGUGAAGAAGGUUUUCGGAUCGUAAAACUCUGUUGUUAGAGAAGAACAAGGACGUUAGUAACUGAACGUCCCCUGACGGUAUCUAACCAUAAAGCCACGGCUAACUACGUGCCAGCAGCCGCGGUAAUACGUAGGUGGCAAGCGUUGUCCGGAUUUAUUGGGCGUAAAGCGAGCGCAGGCGGUUUCUUAAGUCUGAUGUGAAAGCCCCCGGCUCAACCGGGGAGGGUCAUUGGAAACUGGGAGACUUGAGUGCAGAAGAGGAGAGUGGAAUUCCAUGUGUAGCGGUGAAAUGCGUAGAUAUAUGGAGGAACACCAGUGGCGAAGGCGGCUCUCUGGUCUGUAACUGACGCUGAGGCUCGAAAGCGUGGGGAGCAAACAGG